CUUGACGGGGUGCCGGUGAAACCGGCUGAGAUGGCGCGGGGUCUUUCCACAAUGGAUAGCACCCAAGUGCUGGUCCCGUUGAACCUGAUCCGGUUAGCACCGGCGUAGGAAUCA
Molecule: non-coding RNA, 114 nt
Filed under: Candidatus Halomonas stercoripullorum
Lineage: Bacteria; Pseudomonadati; Pseudomonadota; Gammaproteobacteria; Oceanospirillales; Halomonadaceae
Description: TPP riboswitch (THI element)
Rfam family: TPP riboswitch aptamer (THI element)
About the family: Vitamin B(1) in its active form thiamin pyrophosphate (TPP) is an essential coenzyme that is synthesised by coupling of pyrimidine and thiazole moieties in bacteria. The previously detected thiamin-regulatory element, thi box was extended, resulting in a new, highly conserved RNA secondary structure, the THI element, which is widely distributed in eubacteria and also occurs in some archaea.
Source: RNAcentral